Molecule: ribosomal RNA, 448 nt
Filed under: uncultured bacterium
Lineage: Bacteria
Description: SSU rRNA
Rfam family: Bacterial small subunit ribosomal RNA
Source: RNAcentral
AGAACGAACGCUGGCGGCAGGCCUCAAACAUGCAAGUCUAGGGGGUGUAGCAAUACAUCACCGGCGGACGGGUGCGUAACACGUGGGAAUAUACCUUUUGGUUCGGAACAACGCAGGGAAACUUGCGCUAAUACCGAAUGUGCCCUUACGGGGAAAGAUUUAUCGCCAAAGGAUUAGCCCGCGUAGGAUUAGCUAGUUGGUGAGGUAAUGGCUCACCAAGGCUCCGAUCCUUAGCUGUUCUGAGAGGAAGAUCAGCCACACUGGGACUGAGACACGGCCCAGACUCCUACGGGAGGCAGCAGUUGGGAAUCUUGGACAAUGGGGGAAACCCUGAUCCAGCCAUGCCGCGUGAGUGAUGAAGGCCUUCGGGUUGUAAAACUCUUUCGGACGGGACGAUAAUGACGGUACCCGUAGAAGAAGCUCCGGCUAACUUCGUGCCAGCAGCCGC